This is a long non-coding RNA of Magnolia sinica, 424 nucleotides long. RefSeq lists it as uncharacterized. The record is from RefSeq and is a predicted model, not a curated record. The transcript is spliced from 3 exons. NCBI's taxonomy places the organism in Eukaryota, Viridiplantae, Streptophyta, Magnoliopsida, Magnoliales, Magnoliaceae.
ACAAUGCAUUGGCCACGCUGCAGGCACGAAGAGCUUUGAGCGAAUACGUGAAGAAGAGGUAAUUUUUUAUUAAUCACCUAAUAAUUUGAUGUCAAUCUAUUUCUCAUAUAUAACUUAUUUAAAUAAUGAUAGAGAAAUAAGAGGGCCAAUGGGGAGGAUUUGACCCGAGUAGAUAUGUUCUUGUUGACAUAUAGACGCAAGAACGGGAUGCUUGUGGAUGAGGCCUCAGCAAAAGCAAUGGAACAAUUAAAUGAACGAACUUCGCAGCAGCCAGAGGCUUCACAUAACAGCACUGCGAGGAAAGAUAUAUUCUCGGAAGUCAUGAGUGACAAACGAUAUGGCCAUGUCCGCACUUACGGGUGUUUCAACUAAUCCCAACUUGAACCAACCCUCCUCAUCAUCAAGCCACUUGGUUCCAACCCCU